CGUAGUACGUGUUUGACUCGUCGCUACGAGACGACGCUGGCGGCGUGCCUAAUACAUGCAAGUCGAGCGGACGGAUUGGGGCUUGCUUGAUUCGUCAGCGGCGGACGGGUGAGUACACGUGGCACCUGCCGACAAGACGGAUAACUCCGGGAACGAGCUAUACCGGAUACACGAGGCCGCAUGGUCUUCGGUUGAAAGGCGGCCUUUGGGCUGUCACUUGCGGAUGGGCCCGCGGCGCAUUAGCUAGUUGGUGAGGUAACGGCUCACCAAGGCGACGAUGCGUAGCCGGCCUGAGAGGGUGACCGGCCACACUGGGACUGAGACACGGCCCAGACUCCUACGGGAGGCAGCAGUAGGGAAUCUUCCGCAAUGGGCGAAAGCCUGACGGAGUGACGCCGCGUGAGCGAAGAAGGCCUUCGGGUCGUAAAGCUCUGUUGUGAGGGACGAAGGAGCGCCGUUCGAAGAGGGCGGCGCGGUGACGGUACCUCACGAGAAAGCCCCGGCUAACUACGUG
This 514-nucleotide ribosomal RNA is filed under the name uncultured Geobacillus sp. RNAcentral describes it as "bacterial SSU rRNA". It matches the Rfam family "Bacterial small subunit ribosomal RNA", at positions 1 to 507 of the family's 1533-position model. The record is from RNAcentral. Lineage: Bacteria; Bacillati; Bacillota; Bacilli; Caryophanales; Anoxybacillaceae.